ACAGUCACACAUUAGAUACCCCUGUAGUCCCAGCCGUAAACUAUGCGCGUUAGGUGUAUCGGUGACCACGAGUUACCGAGGUGCCGAAGGGAAACCGUGAAACGUGCCGCCUGGGAAGUACGGUCGCAAGGCUGAAACUUAAAGGAAUUGGCGGGGGAGCACCACAACAGGUGGAGCCUGCGGUUUAAUUGGACUCAACGCCGGGAAGCUCACCGGAUAGGACAGCAGAAUGAUUGCCGGGCUGAAGACCCUGCAUGACUAGCUG
This 265-nucleotide ribosomal RNA is filed under the name uncultured archaeon. RNAcentral's name for it is "partial 16S ribosomal RNA". It matches the Rfam family "Archaeal small subunit ribosomal RNA", at positions 716 to 982 of the family's 1478-position model. The record is from RNAcentral.